RNAcentral lists this ribosomal RNA (497 nucleotides) under uncultured bacterium. RNAcentral's name for it is "partial 16S ribosomal RNA". It matches the Rfam family "Bacterial small subunit ribosomal RNA", at positions 28 to 507 of the family's 1533-position model. The record is from RNAcentral.
GAUGAACGCUGGCGGCGUGCCUAAUACAUGCAAGUCGAGCGAACAGACGAGGAGCUUGCUCCUCUGACAUUAGCGGCGGACGGGUGAGUAACACGUGGAUAACCUACCUAUAAGACUGGGAUAACUUCGGGAAACCGGAGCUAAUUCCGGAUAAUAUAUUGAACCGCAUUGUUCAAUAGUGAAAGACGGUUUUGCUGUCACUUAUAGAUGGAUCCGCGCCGCAUUAGCUAGUUGGUAAGGUAACGGCUUACCAAGGCGACGAUGCGUAGCCGACCUGAGAGGGUGAUCGGCCACACUGGAACUGAGACACGGUCCAGACUCCUACGGGAGGCAGCAGUAGGGAAUCUUCCGCAAUGGGCGAAAGCCUGACGGAGCAACGCCGCGUGAGUGAUGAAGGUCUUCGGAUCGUAAAACUCUGUUAUUAAGGAAGAACAAAUGUGUAAGUAACUAUGCACGGCUUGACGGUACCUAAUCAGAAAGCCACGGCUAACUACGUG